RNAcentral lists this transfer RNA (86 nucleotides) under Pseudoselenomonas ruminantium. RNAcentral describes it as "Selenomonas ruminantium (feces metagenome) tRNA-Tyr". It matches the Rfam family "tRNA". Rfam says of the family: Transfer RNA (tRNA) molecules are approximately 80 nucleotides in length. Their secondary structure includes four short double-helical elements and three loops (D, anti-codon, and T loops). The record is from RNAcentral. Lineage: Bacteria; Bacillati; Bacillota; Negativicutes; Selenomonadales; Selenomonadaceae. RNAcentral also lists the same sequence under 26 other names.
GGGUAGGUGGCCGAGUGGUUAAAGGCAACAGACUGUAAAUCUGUCAUCUUCGGAUUACGAUGGUUCGAAUCCAUCCCUGCCCACCA